UAGAUUUUAGUUUUCAUAAUAUGUUUUGUAUUUUAUCUGUGCAACUUCCUACAAUAUAGGCUAUUCACAUUAGCAUAUAACAGAUUGAUAUCUUACCCUGACCAGUGUACCUUGUAGAAUUCUGAUGCUCUUGUUUUCCCUUUGUUGCCUUUCCCUUCCCAUCCAAACAGCUGAGUUCUGUGAAGCCCUGCAGCCUACUGCCUUAACCAGAAGACCAGAUGAACCAGGGUUUGACAAACUCAUGGUCCACCUUGACGCCUCAACCUAGUGGACUGACAAACUCAUGGCCAACCUUGAUGCCUCUAUCUAGGGGACCAAACAUGUGGAGACUAUUGAAUUUGACCAUGUCCAUUUCACCUUACUUCCCAAAGCUUAAUAACUUGUGUUCCCA
Molecule: long non-coding RNA, 391 nt
Filed under: Cicer arietinum (chickpea)
Lineage: Eukaryota; Viridiplantae; Streptophyta; Magnoliopsida; Fabales; Fabaceae
Description: long non-coding RNA (CARI_LNC000639)
Source: RNAcentral